GCUGGCGGCGUGCCUAACACAUGCAAGUCGAGCGAGAAAAGGGUAGCAAUACCCUGAGUACAGCGGCGCACGGGUGAGUAACACGUGGGUAAUCUGCCCUGGAGUGGGGAAUAACACCGGGAAACCGGUGCCAAUACCGCAUACGAUCACGGUGUCUGCGGAUGUUGUGAUGAAAGGAGCAAUUCGCUCCAGGAGGAGCCCGCGGCUGAUUAGCUAGUUGGUGAGGUAACGGCUCACCAAGGCUACGAUCAGUAUCCGGUCUGAGAGGACGGUCGGACACACUGGAACUGAGACACGGUCCAGACUCCUACGGGAGGCAGCAGUGGGGAAUUUUCGGCAAUGGGGGAAACCCUGACCAAGCAACGCCGCGUGGGUGAUGAA
This 381-nucleotide ribosomal RNA is filed under the name uncultured bacterium. Its description in RNAcentral is "bacterial SSU rRNA". It matches the Rfam family "Bacterial small subunit ribosomal RNA", at positions 35 to 412 of the family's 1533-position model. The record is from RNAcentral.